CCCCUCUAUUUUUUCCUUGCAACGUAUACCUUACCUUCCCCCUCUCUUAAGCAUAAACUUCCACUCCUCCAUCUUCUUCUUGCAAUAAAUCUAUUAAUUUACAAACUUCUAUUAAUUAAUUAACAUAUAUAAUUUAUUCCCCUCGGCUUCACUCCCAUCCCUCCAUCUUCUCCUUGCAAUACGACCGGAGGGCGAUGAGAGAUGCGGGGUCGGGGAGGCGGGGCGGCAUCGAGGCUGAGGACGGUGCUAUUGCCGACAAUGACUAUGGCGACAGUGACCGCGUCCUCAGUGGUGGCGGUACCCGUGGCGAAAAAAGUAUGAACCACCUCACCAAGAAAGCAACGAGUCAGGUGCUGGACCAACUUCCUAUAGUCGCUCGCCACUUGCCGAAAGUUUUGGGCCCUCGAAAAGGACGAAACCAUCCAAUUGGUGAGCUCAAUGAUCCCCUACCCUCAAAUUAUUGAGAGUUGUAUGAGGAAGGUGUUAUCUUAUUUGAGUUUCUCUCCUAAAAAUGAAGUGUAGCAAAUUUUUAUGAGGGGAACACCACCUCUAAAUAUUUUGGUACCAACUUUGUGGUGAAAUAAGAAGAGGAGGAAGAGUGGAUCCCAUCAUAUUGUUGGAGCUUUCACAAAGUGGGAGGCAUCAUCAUCUAUGCCAAACUUCUUAGAGAGAGAGGGGAAACAAUCUUAGCUUUUGGUCUUAGCUAUCUUUUUUUUUCCUUUCCUUUGGUCUCUUGUAAUGAUUGUGGCAAGUGAUGUAAGGUUUUAGGACUAGGCAUACAUCAAUCCUAGUCACACAUUAAGACCAAACAAUAUUGAGACUAUGCAUCCAAUGUUGGGAAUUGUAGAGAGGUACACAUUUACAUUUACGGCCUUAUUUGGAUGUCGUAAUAAAUUAUCCAGUGAUGACUU
Ananas comosus (pineapple) is the source of this 911-nucleotide long non-coding RNA. RefSeq lists it as uncharacterized. Lineage: Eukaryota; Viridiplantae; Streptophyta; Magnoliopsida; Poales; Bromeliaceae. The record is from RefSeq and is a predicted model, not a curated record. The transcript is spliced from 4 exons.